AACACCCGAAGUCGGUGAGGUAACCUUUUAGGAGCCAGCCGCCGAAGGUGGGACAGAUGAUUGGGGUGAAGUCGUAACAAGGUAGCCGUAUCGGAAGGUGCGGCUGGAUCACCUCCUUU
Molecule: ribosomal RNA, 119 nt
Filed under: Bacillus subtilis
Lineage: Bacteria; Bacillati; Bacillota; Bacilli; Caryophanales; Bacillaceae
Also listed under: 4 other names
Description: partial 16S ribosomal RNA
Rfam family: Bacterial small subunit ribosomal RNA
Source: RNAcentral